RNAcentral lists this ribosomal RNA (229 nucleotides) under uncultured bacterium. RNAcentral's name for it is "partial 16S ribosomal RNA". It matches the Rfam family "Bacterial small subunit ribosomal RNA", at positions 568 to 796 of the family's 1533-position model. The record is from RNAcentral.
UCCGUAGGCGGGCUAAUAAGUCAGGGGUGAAAUCCCACAGCUUAACUGUGGAACUGCCUUUGAUACUGUUGGUCUUGAGUUAUAUGGAAGUAGAUAGAAUGUGUAGUGUAGCGGUGAAAUGCAUAGAUAUUACACAGAAUACCGAUUGCGAAGGCAGUCUACUACGUAUAUACUGACGCUAAUGGACGAAAGCGUGGGGAGCGAACAGGAUUAGAUACCCUGGUAGUCC